RNAcentral lists this ribosomal RNA (461 nucleotides) under uncultured bacterium. RNAcentral's name for it is "bacterial SSU rRNA". It matches the Rfam family "Bacterial small subunit ribosomal RNA", at positions 30 to 504 of the family's 1533-position model. The record is from RNAcentral.
CGAACGCUGGCGGCACGCUUAACACAUGCAAGUCGAACGAGGUCCAUGGAGCUUGCUCCGGAAGACCUAGUGGCGAACGGGUGCGUAACACGUGAGAAACCUGCCCUGAACUUGGGAAUAACAGUCGGAAACGACUGCUAAUACCGAAUAUCUUCACGACGUCGCAUGGCGAUGUGAAGAAAGCCUUGUGCGGUUUAGGAGGGUCUCGCGACCUAUCAGCUUGUUGGUGAGGUAACGGCUCACCAAGGCAUCGACGGGUAGCUGGUCUGAGAGGAUGAUCAGCCACACUGGGACUGAGACACGGCCCAGACUCCUACGGGAGGCAGCAGUGGGGAAUAUUGCACAAUGGGCGCAAGCCUGAUGCAGCGAUGCCGCGUGCGGGAUGAAGGCCCUAGGGUUGUAAACCGCUUUCAGUAGGGAAGAAAAUGACGGUACCUACAGAAGAAGGUGCGGCCAACUAC